CUUGGCAACACUGGUAACGAGUGUGACGUUUUUGACGUUUCCUCGACGCUUGGGAUAACCUAGAAAUUUACUUGUUUAUUUUGUUUAAUUGUUUGUUUCAUAUCGAAAUAGUGCGUUUUUUUAUGUCAUUCGUUUCGUUUCUAAUUGAAAAGACUUCCUUGUUAUUGUAGUGUACUGUUUUAAAAAGUUCGUUUCAGUGAUAUACCGUUAUAUAAAUAACUUGGUUCGUUCUCAAUCCAUUAUGAUUAUUACUCGGUUUUCUUGAUAUUGUCGAUAAAAUUAUCAUAUUGGCCCAUUAAUAAGAAUAUUUGUAAGUGAGAAGUGUGUUUGUUUGUGUUGUGGUUGUGGUUUGGUGAAUUUAGUUUUGACACAAGAAAGUUUUAAGUUGUGAUCUCAGUGACAACAAAUAUUGAAAGGAUGAAGCAGACUUCGCGCUCAGGUAAGUCAAGCCACAGUUGCAGACUACAGCAACAUAAUUGGUAAGUGAUUUGAUUUUGUAUAAAUAUAAAAAUAUGAUUUUUCUUAAAUAAUGGCUGCACCGUUUUAAUGGUUUUGCCAAUGUUGAGUAAACAGAUUGAUAAUACAAUAAAUAUAAAAAGAUAUUAUUCAUGGUAAUCAAAACCAAGGUUAUCAUUUUGAGUAUAAUGCAUUAUAUGUAGUUUUUUUAUACUUAAAAUAAUUUUAUGAAUGACCCUUUAUUUUAUAUUUUUGAUAUAUUACGAAUUUAAUUAUAGUAUUUUUUUAAUUAAUAAUGUUUUUCUAGUAAUGUAAUUAAAACAGAUUUUUUCUAUUACCUUUUUUUUUCAAUAUGUUGUUUUGAAGUGAUUAUUAUUUGAACAUAGUCCAUAUUUUAAAAUAGAUGAUAGUAUUUAAUUAUAUUUUUAAGUUCUAUUUUUAAGUAUAAGGUAUCAAAAACGGUUAAACUAUUAAUUUUUAUAUGGGGAAAAUGUUUGUAUGCCAGAUUAUAAGGUAAGUAAAGAGAAAUCUGGUAUUUCAAUUUUUUUUUGUUCUGGUGCAACCAAAAUAGGAUUUUAUAUCACUAAUAAAAUAUAGAAUAAAGUGAACACAUAAUAUUUUUACAGGUGAUAAUAUUUAUUUAUGUGAUAUAAUCUAAUUAUUUCAUUUGUGAUUUUCUGUGUUUGCAGCAAAUGUCUCACAAUUUGUGUGUAUACAAUAUACUUGUAUGUUACAUAGAGCAUUAAAAAUUUUAUUGUCAAGUGGUUUUACUUUAAUAACCCAUUCUAAAGCAGGUCUCAAACUAGGAAGAUGAUAUUGGAUGCAAAAUUGAGACUUGAGCACAUAAGAAUAAGAGCUUUCACUGUUAUGUCGUCGAUAUCCCACAAGGGCUUAUCCAUGAGCAUUUUAAUGUUAAUGGAAUUCUGCAGAUAAUUUAUUAUGAUCACCCAGACUUGGCACACUUUGGAGUACUUUACCGUUUCACAGUAUUCAGUUUCACUGUCUUAUUUUAUGUUUUAAAUAGUUAAUAAUGUAUUAGGUUUACAUUAAAAUAAAUUUAUUACUGAUACAACAGAGUGAAAUUAUUUCCAUCUAAAUUGGGCAAUAAAGAUGUAAGCAAAUAUAUAACCCCUGAUUUUGUCUGUAUCUAUACAUAUACUUGUUUAAUAAAAUAAAUGAAAUCUUUGUAAUGUAAUGUCAUUAUUUUAUAUUAAGUAAUAUAUUAUCCAAAAUAUUGAAUUGUUGCUAAUGUAAAUUAAAACUACUCAAAACAUAUACAAAUAAGCUAACAUUUUUCAGCGAAAUAUGUUAACACGAUACGUGGAGCUCAGCGCAUUCUCUUCAACAAUUAUAUAUUUAGGCAGCAAUGCAAGGCGUCAAAAGAAGGCAUCAAGACAUGGUAUUGUAUUGCAUAUGGAAGGUUUCAAUGUCCAUCCGUACUGAGCACAAAUAACUUGCACCAUAUCAUACAGAUCAGGGGUAACCAUAACCACCAGCCUCCAGAGAUAAUAACAGUUGCUGGUGGAACGGUACUUCAAACAGUGAUACAAGGUAAAAGAAAAAAACCAGGUCCCACUCCAAGUCCUAAGACUAAAAGGGUAAGUAUACAAUUUCUAAAAAGGAAUGCAAGUACAUAAUCUAGGGCAAGAGUUAAUUUAAUGAAAUGAUCAUAUGUAGGCAUUCAUUGCCGGAUCUGUACUUGGGAUCCGAGAUAAAAAAGCGAGCUCCUCACACUUCCUGACGUCUAUUGUGUUGUGCUCUUUAAUUAUCGACAUUUUGUUUUAUCAGGCUAAUGUUUUAGAAAGUGUUUCUGUGAGCUCUUGUGAUGGCUGUAAACUGCAAUAUGCAACUUCUAGAGUUUGUGGGUCAAAAAAUAACAUAAAAAUGGGUCAAUAUUAUACUUAAUAUAAGAAACAUUCUGCUUAGUUGAAAGUCUAGCACUUAAUAUGUUGUUUGUUAAUUGUGAUAUAAUUUUGUUUAAGCUAAAUUACUACCUAUAGCUGCUUUUCAUUUUAAGUUGUGAUACAAGUUUUUAAAUGAAGUAUUAAACUUUUAACUCAAUGCAUGUUUUUAAUGAGUGUAUGUGAUUUAACAAAUCUCAUAAUUUUAAUGUGUUUUUAAAAAAAUGUUGAUGUGCAAUUCAUCAGAAGCUUGAUGAAGCUAGUAUUAAAAUAAACUGAAAAGUAAAAUAGUGUAUGAUUUUAACUAUGUCUAGAAGAAUUGUGCCAUAUUAAUUGUUGUGAUUUUUUAAUUUUAAACAUUUUGUUACUAUUUUUUAUAUUUAUUUCUAUUGUUUUUAGCAUCUUAAGUCUGAGUUAUGUGUAAGUUAAGAAAUGUAUAAUUUUUAUUGCAUCAUUGUCUAGAGUUUUACUAAUAAUGACUUUAAACCAUUUACCUCCAUUAUCAGUGUUUUGAGAUACAUGAUUUAAGUAUGUGACAAAAUAUAAUAUUUUAAUAUUUAAACACCAAUCUUCAAUAGAUUAUAUAUUUUUGUAUACAUCCAGCAAUAGAAGUGGAUAUAAUAAGGCUUAAAUAUUGAAAUUUGAAUGCUGUUCUACAAUGGAGUUAAUGAAGUUAGCAUUAACUGUGAUUAUUUACUAUAAAAUAGCAUAUAAUAAUGAUGUUUGCAAACUCAUUUUUUAUCAAAAACCAAUUUUUAUCAAUAACUCAUUUUUUUUAACAAAAACUAUUUUUUUUAUCAGUAACUCAUUUUAUAUUAAUAGUUUCUGUUAUACUUACUAAUGUUAAAAAUCGGACAAAAACGAUCUGCAGUGCCAGGUCAUAAAAUAAACGGUAUUUUUAAUUUUAUACUAUUGAUGUGACACACAUAGUAAUUAUUAUUAUGUUUAAGUAAUAGUUUUACUGUUCUUUAUGGAAUAUUUAAAGGCAUCUCAUUUGCCAAAUAUGGAAGUAAUAUUGUAGUAUCUGUACCUAUUAGAUAACUAAACUAUAUGUUGUUUGAAUAGAGUAAAUGUGAAAUACAUUUUGAAAUAUGUAUUUAAAAUAUUGUUUUAUUUCUCCCAAUGUAAAUAUACUAUAAAUGUUUCAUCUGCCUAUUAUGUUUGAUAUAUCAACAAUUGAUUUUGGGUUAGAUUCCCAAUCGAGUAAGUAAAAGUUAGUAUGGUUUCUCGGGAAAGUUGCUUGGAAAUGGUAUAUCUACUCAAUACCGAUAGACCAACACCGCAUCAUGGUCAAUAUGAUUUUUUCGACUUGUAAAUUCAUGAGUUUUCUUGUCUUUAACAAGGUGUGAUCUUCUUAUAACGAAUAUUUGAUGGUACGUAAUAAUAUAAAUUAUUUAUAUAUUUUCAGAGGCUCUCAUUAUACCUUCAAGAAAUAAACGCGGUCACGGUAUGGUGUUGUUCAGAGGUUACACAUACUCUUGGAGAAAUUACAAAAAAUACGGCAAUUACUGGACAUGUUCUAGUCACCAUAAGAAAGGUUGUAAAGCAAACAUCACCACAAACGAAUCUGAGAAACCCUUUGAAGUUACGAAGUUCAAUGCUGUACAUAAUCAUCCGCCUCCGAAAAUUAAAUUAUGCCCCGAUGUAGAAUAUGUUGACACUUAAUUUGUAUAUAUUUUGUUAUAUUAUAUUUAAUUUAUGAUGAAUUAAUUUUCACUUAAAGUAAAUGAUAUUGAUUAUACUUAAGUGUACAUUUAAAAUUUAUUGUAUAUUUGUUAAUAAAUUUGAUGGUGGUUAAUUUUAAACAAUAUACGUUAGAAACGAAUUUUUACGUCUACAUAUGUGCAAAUUUAAUAUAUUGUUGGAUUCACAAAUUUUCAAGAACUCACCGUUUUUUCUACUGAAUCUCGAUAUAUGAAGAAAAUUGAUUGUUUUUAGAUUAAGUGAAGGCAACAGUAUAUUUUUGUUUUGUAAAUUCUGAAUAACAAUACGGAUUUGUUGUGGGCCGUAUGUUUUAUAAAAGUAGUUCAUAAGUCCUAAUUUAAUGUACAAACAUGUUAAUUAAUUUACAUUUUUAUACAAGGUGUUGGUUUAUAAAUAUAAUUUAACAUGACUGAUGAAGUUUGUUCAAUUAAUAAAGAUUUAUAUGAGUCGUUUAUAAAACUAAUUCUCUUUCUUCCCUAAUAUAUGUACUGGUGUUUACUGUUCAUCAUAAUUUUCAAUUCAACAAUUUUUGGUUUAUGACUAAGUAUCUGCCGAAUACAAUAAAAAAGAUAAAUCGCCAUAAUGGGUAACAGUUUUUGCUCGUUCUAUUACUGGCUUCCGACUUUGAAAAUUCCAGCGUCAAUCACGUUAUGUUGUUACAGGUAUAGACUUUAUAAAAUCGAAAAAAGGUAACAAUUUAUUAGUGCACAAACAGUACACGUAUGCCUUAAAUAGCAAGAGUAAGAACAGAAUGACUUGGACCUGCUCCUCUAGGUGUUCUAAAAAGUGUAACGCUCUGGUCGAUUUGAAUAAAAAUGGGGUAUUCUCGGUGAUUAACGGUGAACACACCCACGAACCACCGGUUUUCUACCAAAACGAACGUGGAGAGUACAUCAGGUUAACAAAAAGGAGACUCAGUCAGCUCAAUCAAGAGGAAAUGGAAGAGGAAAGUAUAAUCGAAAGAUUAGAAGAUGAAGUAUAAAUCAUUCCUGACAUGGACGUGCUGAAGGUUGUGUCUUCAGUGGUUAUAUUUAAAAUAAUAGUUUUAGGUCCAAUUUACCAUUAUAUAUAAGAAUAUAUGUUAUUUUAAAGGGGUCAUAAGAUGUAUGUUUUAAAUAUACUUAAACACAAUUUAUUUUUUGUUACUUAAUAGUGUUUUAUUUCAUUUUCGUUUUUCAUCUCAAAGAAGUUUAAGAAAUCAUUUAUAAAUACAUACAUAAUUGGAUAAAUUAAAUAAUAAACAACGCUCUGUUUUCAAACAGCGUUCUUUAUUUAUUAGAGAAGGUGAAUUUUAUAAAAGACUCGAAUUCUGAAGUACUUACCUUUCGAUUUUUUUUUAUUGUUAUAUUUAUAAACAACAAACUAUUGGUGCAUGUAGCAUACAAUCUUGAUCAACCUAGCGUGAGGUUUUACACUUAAAAUACAUCUAAUUGGGCUUAGCAUUAGCUAUCUUUCUACAAUUACCAAUUAAAACUAAGUCUCCAUUAUUGUACGAGUUAGUUGCCAAGGUCAUCAUAAAUUCUUAGACUAUUUCCAGGCCUAGCAUUACAGUCGAGCCGUGGGAUGCCAAUGCUUUAUUACCGCAAUCACGUGUUCAACAUGAGUCAUUGCACCAAGAGAGAUAGGCACGUCAAAUGGUACUGCUCAUUGAGGACGGCAAAGGUGUGCAAGACUAACAUUGUGACUGAUUCUGAUGGUUCAGUGGUCAGGCUAAGCGGCUGUCACAACCAUAAGGCCAAGACAGAAAAUGAAAGAUUAUUCUAGAAACGAGUGUUUUAAUGUUUACAAUCAGCAGAUGUCGCGAGUUCAAUGGGUUAAUUUUUUAGCAGUAUCUACUGAUUGUGUUUCUUUUCUGCCAUUUCUUUCCAGCGAUGGUUGGUGCCUAUAAAUUACUUUUAUGUGUUUCUGUAUGUAUUAUGCCUGGUGUUUUGUUUUGUAUUAUACUUUCUGUGAAAUAAUGUAAGACAGCAGCUAAUUUAAAAGGAAUAUUAGGUAUCACGGAAAAAUAAAUAUUUGAUCAAUUUAUUUUAAGUACUUAUUUAAUAUAAGACACCAUUUCUUUGUCAAGUAGAAUAGUUUUGUAAAAAUACCAAAAUACCUUCCUAAUUACAGUUAUUUCACAGGUCCGGUGCUUAUAAAGGCGAAGAAGAAAGGAAAAUACAUCCUCCUAUACAACAGCUUCACUUACUCGCGUAUCACGAAGUCGAAGAAAGGAACGGUUUGGAAAUGUACUAGCAGUAAAACAGACGAAUGUAAAGCUACCGUUACCAUAGAUGAUAAUUUGAAUGUUGUUGGCACCAAGGGUAGUCACACGCAUCGAAAACAGACGCUAGAAGCUAAACCUAAACACGUAUAUUUUACUACUCAAUGACAGUAAAUUCAUUUUUUUCAUAUAACCGUGUCCAUCUUAUACCAUUUUAUAAAAAUGAAAUAGUUUAGUUACUGAAUUAAUUUUACGAGUGGCCUAUAAGUGACCUUUGACGACGAUUAUUUUCUUGUACGCCAGAAUCCACGUUCUGUAGAUUUUUUCGUUUGACAAGUAAUAUGUGUGUGAUGAGUGAUCUGCCUUCGCAAAUUACUCGGGCCGGUGUAAAAUAGAUUUAAAUUUGUCGCGAAAUGUCAUUUCCGGAAUAUACAUUGUGCGUAAUACAUUUAUAUUUUCAAAGCAUCAAAAUAUAUUUUUAUGUUUUUAAUUUCUUUCUUCUUUUUAUGUUUAAUGGUCAUUGAGAUUACACUGUUAUUGAAAUGCCCUAUAGAUUAAUUAUAUCUUGAUUCUUGUAAGUGAAUGCUUCGCUUUAUUUGAUUCGCUGAUGCUUCGUUAUCAUGAUCUUUGUGGAUUGUUUGUGCAUUGAUCAAUUUUGUUUUAAUCAACACUGAUUCAUUGUUAACAGCAUUUUAUUUUUAAUUACUUAACAAUGUUGGUGUGACUAACAAAUAAUAUUAACCUGUUUCUCUGUGUAAAUCCAUUUUUAUAUAUUACCAUCAGUACUAGUGGUGACGGCGGUGGACGGCGCGCCACUACUGAUCGUCCGAGGCUACUCCUUCAACCACCCCACACCAGUAGCUGGUGGCGAGCGUUGGAUCUGCUCUGGGCGCGUCCGUUUCAACUGUGGUGUUUACGUCCUCGUCAACGAUGAUUAUGAGCUUGUCAAGAUCACCAAAGAGCAUACCCAUAAGCCGCCAGUAUACGAUAAAAAUGCUGAUGGCCUUUAUAAAUUGAUAAAUUUAAAAAUUUUAAUCCCAUUCGGCACCGGCUUGAUAAAAGAGAUGGCCCUAGAGCGAAAAUAAGGAGACGGUGCGUGGGGUGCUACAAAAUGUACUCCACCCUCCACGGCAGCGUCAAAGCUAAGAACAUGACCACGAAAGUGAACACCUACUGCUCCCAGUGUCCUGGCGAACCUUAUUACUGUUCCCAUUGCUUCCUCAAGAGCCAUGGCUAUCUCCUCCCCCGUCCUACUCCCUCGGUUGCUCUGAACGUGCUCAAAAUCGAAGCACCGACCGGCGACGCAUGAGUUUAGUCAACACGUAUUGCACAUUAGUGCGCUACGAAAUUUUUUCUUAUUACACCGGGAACACACAUGUACCUUCAAUUCUAUAUGUUUUUAUAAGGCAUUACUAUCACUCGUCCAUGUUACUUAGUGUUUAUGCAAUAGAGCGUGAUUUAUUAAAGGUUACGUUUGACUUGUAGUUAAUUUUAUCAGGUCUAUCGUUGUGCUUCCUACAAUGCUAGUUUGUUUUGUAGUGACGGCAAACUUUAUUAUUGGAAUUUGUUCAAGGGGUUUUACAUAUUGAUCUGUAUUUUGUUAAAUGAAUUAAAAUUAACAAUGAAUUUUGUUAUGAUUUAAUGAAGAGUAUACUAUUUUGCAUUUUUAUUUAGGUGUGGAACACGAAUUGUUUGCACAAAAGUGGAUAUUGUCUUUGUAGCUUAGUGUAAGAAUAUUGGUAGCUGCAUCUGUAUAAGCGUCUGGGUUUUAGUGUACUUAAGAGUCUGUAUAAAAUAAUGAUAAUUUUCUUGAUGUUUUUAAUGUAAUUUGUAUGUUUUAAUAUUGAACCGACUGCGAUCAGCUUCUGUAUGUCAUGAGAUUAAGAGAUGAAUGUUAUAAAGAGUUAAAUAUUUAGAUAGGAUAUGUGGUGGGUAUAAGAAUUAUUAUUCGUAGUUACGAUUUAUUAUUGUAAUUAAUAUUAUUUAUUAGUUUAAAUAAAAUAACUAUACUAUCUAAAAUGGCUUCUUUUUUCAUUACCUACCUUUCAUGACGAAAUUUGUAAAAUAUUUUUUUUAUUAGAAAAUGAACUUGCAAAUUUUAUGUUAAUGUAUUGUAAUAGAAUUAUGUAACAUUAUACUAUUAAAAUUCUUUUUUUUUGUUAGUGUAAUGUUAAUUAAAAUAUAUUAAGUAUGAAAUCAUGUUUUACGGCUGUAGUAUAGCUAUUGCGAAUUUUAUUUGUAUUUAUAGAAUUAUUGGUAAAUUUUAAAUUAAUUUUAUUCCCAUGAAUUAUGUUUAUUGAGAUAAACUGAUAGAUACUUAUCUCGAUAAAUUAACGUAGCUGCAGUUGCGAAGUAUUGUAGAGUAGAUAUGUAAUAUUUAGACAAAUCUGUAUUUCGUUAGCAGCGGUAGUCCUAAUCAGAAUAAAGUGGGGUUGCCUUUCAGAUUUUUUUCUUUCAGAUAAUUUUCCAGUGACUAUUAGUUAAAGCAAUUGGGUUAGGAUAUUUGGCCACUUGAUGUCGUAACACUUAGCACCCAUUUUGCUUUACUCUAGGACUACCGCUGAAACCUUAAUAUGCACAAUCUGCUUUUCUAGAAUAUACUAGGGUUUUAUUCUCUGCAGUUACAGUAAUCUCUCUCUCAACGGGCAAAACAUUUCUUAUUGUAAACGGGUACACGUUCAAGAAAGAGUUUGGUUUGAAGAACGGAACACGAUGGAGUUGCAACGAGCCAAGCCACACCAAGUGCAGCGUUUAUAUUCAUGUUAACGAGAAAUUUGAACUCGUCUUCAUGGCCAAUGCCCAUACCCACGAACCGAUAUUGUGCCGCAUGUUCCAAGACAGAAUUAUGUAGUACUUUUUCAAUUACCUUUGAUUAUAAAUAAUGAGAAUCAUUAAGAAUAGAUAAGGUUUUUUUAUGUUAAAUUUGAAGUUCAAAACUUCAUUCGAACGUCUGUUUUUAAUCACAGAAAAUCAUUGAAUGAUUAAAUUUAUCAGCGCUUUAUGCUCUAGCAUAAAUUUGUGUCUUAACAAUUUUGUAUUUAUUUUGUGUCUUCUAUUCAUAAAAAUAAAAUUUUAUGGUUUAAUAUAUAACCAUUGUAUUCAUUUGCUUUGUGUUUCACGAUCCAGAUUACUGCUUUAUUUUAUUAUAGCAGAUGUGACCCAUGUAAGGGCUGUCUCAAUAGGGGAGUAUUACACCAUGGAUUUGCGAGCACAUUUUAUGCCAUUGAAUUUGUUAAAAUCGAGCAUAUUUAUCUUUAAAACACCAAACUUUGUUUAAUAUAAUUUGUUAUUAUACAAUUUUAAAUGUGAUGAUAUCUUGUUGACAGCUCAAAAGGCCUUGAAGAAUAAUGAAAUUUUCACCACAAUCAUAUACGAGGAAGGAAUAUCUGGCAUAGACCCUCACAGCGAUAACACGGCAUUAUUCGUAGACUCGCGGAAAGGGAAGACAAUUCUCCAAUACAAUGGCCAUAGAUACAGAAAGGCGUAUAAAUCCAGGAACGGCACUCGAUGGACUUGCUCAAAAAGCAAAAACUGCACAGCAUUUCUGUAUCUGAACGAUGAAGAUGAAAUCAUAAUGGCUCAUCAGAAGCACUUGCAUCCUCGUCCUGUGAUAUUUGAAAACGUAGACUCAGAGCAGCAUGAUACAGCAGUCGUCAUCACCUCUCGCAAAGGCAAGGAGAUGUUACUGUUCCGUCAAUAUACCUAUCGGAAGCAAUAUGACAAAGGCAACAGGGCUCGCUGGGUCUGCUCUACCCUGAAGAACUGUCACGCCUGUGUGUUUACAGACAGCUCUAAUUACAUCACGUCGGCAUGCGAAGAUCAUUGCCACGACCCACCAAAAUAUUACAUGAAACCAGAUCAUAUACUCGAUGCUAUCAGAGAACCUAUCAUACUUGAAACUGAUUAGUUGACGGUAGUUAGGAAGAUUUCGGUGUUUAUUUGUGUUAAGAAAAUAGUACAUAAAUAGUAGUCCUUGAUUAAUGUGUUGAUAAAUCACAUUUAAUUACAUUUGUAUUUUCUGGUAACUUUUGUUAUGUGGUUCCUUACUAUUUUCUUAACAUGAACUAUUUGACUCAAACCAAGAAAUAGUACGAGAAAAUUAACAUUUUAAUUUGUUUCUUUUCAAAAACCAGAGUACUACUUAUUGUAUUUUAUUGUAAACUAAGUAAUAUUGUCAUACACCACUCAAUAUGCAAUUUUCUGUACUUUAUACUUCAAAGUUGUUAUUACCAUAUAACAGUGAAUUUUCUGUUGGCAUAUAGUACCCCUAUAAUAAUUAUAUACUAUAAUUUUUUUUUUGCAAUGAGUUUUGAAAUUUUUUGUUUUACAUUCAUAGUAAAAUCAAUUUAAAAUGUAAAAAAUUCGUAAUUGUUGAUAGAGGAAGAUAAAAUAAGCUCAUCGAUAUAUUCAUUUUAAAAUCAUUAUCAAGUGUAUUGGAGGUGUUUCCAUUUUGUCGUUUAUAACUAACAGUAAAAGGAAUAAAAUGUAUUGUAUGGGAAUUUUUUAACCGACUUCAAGAAAGGAAAGUUCUCAAUUCGGCCGUAUUUUUUAUGUAUGUUGCCUUAGAACAUUUUUUUUAUAUAUUUAAUGAAAUCACCAGUUUGUAUAUUAUGUUUAUACAAAAGGUUAGUAAAUAAUUUUUUUAAUAUAAAAUGCUAAGGAAUAUUUUUUGUACUUUAAGAAGCAUGGAAUUAACAAUUUUCGGUGCAUUUUCAUCAUGAAAUUAACGAAACAAUAUUCAAAUGAUAAAAAAAUUUAAACGAUUACACUAAAGAUGACAUAUUCCAGAAAUAUUAUCUUUACUGUUCUGUGUUGUGUUUAUUUUUUUCUGUUUAUACUUAUAUUUUAAAGAGGAAAAGUUUGUGAGUUUGUUUGAAGAUUUAUAGGGGCUAAACUCUGGAAGUACUCAACUGAUUUCAAAUUGCUCACUAAUACGAAGCUAAAUUACUUCUGAGUGCUAUAGGCUUUGUAUCCCGGGAAAAUAUUUCACCCGGGCGGAGCUGCGGGCAAAAGCUAGUGUAUUAUAAAUUACUAAAAGGUUGGCGAGCCAUUUUUAUGUAAAAAGCGAUUUAAGUAUUCGUCUUAGUUAUUUUGUUUCAGAAACUACCAUGAUUUUGUAGUGGUCAUGUCUACGUAUUUUACAAAUUAUAACAUGUCCUUAUGAAAUUUUCCAAAUUAAAUAUCAGUGUGCAAUAAUAAUGUUAUUUUUUAUUACAUUUUCAAAAUAAAGUCCUACAUACUUUCACUGGCCUAAUUAAAUAAACGUACACUGAUUUAACUUUUGAAUCUGUUGCUUUACUAUAACAAAUCCUAAUAAAAUUAAUCAAUUCUUUAAAAAAAAAUGUAACCAAUAGUUACUUGGAAUCUUAAUACAAAAAAAAUAAAAUAAUCUUAAGCUGGUCUUUUCCCUAUAUGAUGAUUUUACAACAGGAUAAAGUCAAGAGAAUCGCAACGGAAUAAAAUCGUCUAAUUCAUACGUCUAAACACCCAAAACAAUGUUCGCAGAUUCCAGUGAAGAUGAUUUUGCUGACCCGAAAACAGCAUACUUCGUAGAAACCUCCAGAGGUGGUUUGAUACUCAUUUACAAAGGGUUCCGAUACAGGAGAGAGCAUAAAGUAAAAAGCGGUAGACGGUGGGUUUGCUCUGUUAACAAAUACUGCAACGCCUUCCUCACCUUGACGGAGGACAACGAGAUCACCAAAGUCCGUGCCAAUCAUAACCAUCCGAAAACACCAAUAAAGAUACGUUUGUGAUACAUAGUAUUUCUUACGACAGUGACGAGGAUUACGAUGAAAAUUCAAAGGACGUGGCUAUAUUCUUGAAAACGCAUAGAGGAAGCAUGUUAUUAAAGUUAAAUGGAUAUAAAUAUCGUAAAACAUAUAAAACAAAACACGGGACACGCUGGGUUUGCUCGUCGAACAAGUAUUGCUCAGCCCACCUGGUCGUGUCGGACAUGGAUGAGAUCGUGGCGGCGUGCGAGGUCCACAAUCAUAAUAAAACUAAAUCUGCGAAGACUUUGGCAAAACCGCUUGCAAAAAAAGAAAAGGCAGUGCUGGUGAUAUCUCGCAACGGUAACAUCAACUUAAUACAUAGAAAAUUCGCCUAUCGCAAGAAGUACUCCGGGACUGACAGAAGUCGAUGGGUAUGCGCCACGGAGAAGGCUUGCCGCGCCUGCAUAUUUGUAGACAAUGAUUACCACGUGGUCUCAGGCAUUAUGGACCACAUGCACUCACCCCCGAAGAUUCAUAAAAGCCUCUCGGACCUCCCGCUAUUAGAUGAGAAAGGGAACAAAAUCAACAAAGAAGACAUAUACAAACGUGAUGAAUCAAAUUGAAAAUUUAUGUUUUUCUUUUACAUUUUAUGUUUUACGAAAUUAAAUGAAAUUUUAAUGUUUUUAAUGUGUUAAGUCUAUAAAAGGUUAUAUACA
Long non-coding RNA from Manduca sexta (tobacco hornworm), 12691 nucleotides. RefSeq lists it as uncharacterized. NCBI's taxonomy places the organism in Eukaryota, Metazoa, Arthropoda, Insecta, Lepidoptera, Sphingidae. The record is from RefSeq and is a predicted model, not a curated record. The transcript has 7 exons.